RNAcentral lists this long non-coding RNA (592 nucleotides) under Phasianus colchicus (ring-necked pheasant). RNAcentral describes it as "lncRNA (ENSPCLG00000006111.1)". Lineage: Eukaryota; Metazoa; Chordata; Aves; Galliformes; Phasianidae. The record is from RNAcentral.
AAAACAGCCAGCAGAAAUCUCUUAGAGCAGCUCCUGGUUAACGCUGUGCUGUAAGCUUUGAAAAUCAAUGUUGACAAUUGCAAGGUGCUGCACGAGAAGAGGAAUGAUUUGCAUUGCAGACACAGAGCCCCACAUUAUUUGUGGACACCUGAGCCAUGCAGCAGCUGGGAGAAAACCAUGGCUGUGUGGAGAUUUUGGAGCCUGCAGAGGUGCAUCUCGCUGACUGCAGCUCGCAGAAGGGAUAUGAAGAUCUGGGAAGCCCAUUCUCAUGAUGCAAGCCAAGCUCUGCUGCUCAGAAGAGACACAGGUGCUGCAUCAAGCUGACACAGCCCUGGCUGGAUGUACAUUUCCAGGGUCUGAGUUAAUCUGUCAGUGCUCCUCUCCAACUGCAAGAGCACUUAGACAAUUAGUCUACUGCCAGGGGAGAUCUGGGGAUCGUUGUCGUCAGCGCCGAUGACAGUGCUAUAUUAAGGAUGCUUUAGGAAUAAGAAAUCAAUGAGACAGUGGUUUGAAAUGACCCAAGGACUUUCCAGCCCGGUGAUUUAAUAUCGCAGUGAAUAAAAAAAUCUUAGUAAAUAGUAGUGGUCUAGAA